UACGUAGGGUGCAAGCGUUGUCCGGAAUUAUUGGGCGUAAAGAGCUCGUAGGUGGUCUGUCGCGUCUGCUGUGAAAAUCCGGGGCUCAACCCCGGACUUGCAGUGGGUACGGGCAGACUAGAGUGUGGUAGGGGAGACUGGAAUUCCUGGUGUAGCGGUGAAAUGCGCAGAUAUCAGGAGGAACACCGAUGGCGAAGGCAGGUCUCUGGGCCACUACUGACGCUGAGAAGCGAAAGCAUGGGGAGCGAACAGG
RNAcentral lists this ribosomal RNA (253 nucleotides) under uncultured bacterium. RNAcentral describes it as "partial 16S ribosomal RNA". It matches the Rfam family "Bacterial small subunit ribosomal RNA", at positions 524 to 776 of the family's 1533-position model. The record is from RNAcentral.